AUAUCUUAGGUGUACCCAUUUCUACUGUGGCUUCAGAAUCAGUUUUUAGCACUGGUGGUAGGGUUGUCACUCCUCAUCGAAGUAGGCUUCACCCGAAGACGUUGGAGGGAUUAAUGUGUUCUCAAAGUUGGUUGUUGAAAGAUGCCAAAGACCAAGUGCCCACUUGGAAAGAUGCAUAUGGUACUAUUUACGAUGAUUGUGGGAUUAGUCCAGAAGAACUUGAAGACAUGGAGAUUGAAGAAGAAGAUUGUGAAGAGUGAAAAAUGAAU
This is a long non-coding RNA of Ipomoea nil (Japanese morning glory), 269 nucleotides long. RefSeq lists it as uncharacterized. The transcript is spliced from 3 exons. Lineage: Eukaryota; Viridiplantae; Streptophyta; Magnoliopsida; Solanales; Convolvulaceae. The record is from RefSeq and is a predicted model, not a curated record.